RNAcentral lists this ribosomal RNA (253 nucleotides) under uncultured bacterium. Its description in RNAcentral is "partial 16S ribosomal RNA". It matches the Rfam family "Bacterial small subunit ribosomal RNA", at positions 524 to 776 of the family's 1533-position model. The record is from RNAcentral.
GACGGAGGGUGCUAGCGUUGUUCGGAAUGACUGGGCGUAAAGGGCGCGUAGGCGGCUCGUGAAAUCGGGUGUGAAAGCCCGGGGCUCAACCCCGGAACGGCAUCCGAUACUGGCGGGCUUGAGACCGGGAGAGGAGGGUGGAAUACCCAGUGUAGAGGUGAAAUUCGUAGAUAUUGGGUGGAACACCGGUGGCGAAAGCGGCUCUCUGGCCCGGAUCUGACGCCGAGGUGCGAAAGCGUGGGGAGCAAACAGG